GUCUGCCGCUGCGUAAUGCGCCAAUGUGCCUUCGUCGCCGUGCGCCCGCCCCCUCUCGCUCCGCCGUCCAAUCCGGAGCCUGCGAUUUUGGAGCAGCCAGGAAAGACCUUGCCAGGGCGAUAUUACCCCGUGUGUGUGUGUACAUUCUGGUCUGUAGCAUCAUCCCGGGAAUCUCAACACACUCCGCUGGGGCUUCAUUGAACCACGCUCGGACCGAGGGAAGCGGACGCCAGAGGAGCUCGCAGCAGUGUGUAGAGGCCGCGAGACGAAAGAGGAGGAAGAGGAGGAGGUGGAGCCGGCGAGAUCGUUGGACCAAAGGCUGAAUACGUGUGCGUCAUAACGGGGCAACAGCCGAGGACCCCUGGGUGCUGCUGUACUGCUACUGCUGACAAGGUGACUUUGGGACAGAGGGAGGAGAGACGAGGGGAGAGGGCGGGUAGAGGAGAUGCAAAUAUGUCCGCCGUUAAUGUAUGGCUCACAUAUGGGCAGGUGAGAGGAGGUGAAGACGAGGAGAAGUCGAGAGCGUCAUUUGCAUACAGGAUAAACUGGGUUAGUGUUUGCGGCGCGCCUACGUUUAUGUCGUAAGGCGUCUCCUCACUUUUCGAAAUGUCCCGGAAACAUUCAGUGAACUCUUCGCUCAUCUCUGAUUGACAGCGUGUAGUGCUUUUUGUGGCGGAUUGUUUUCCUUUGCGCGAGCCUCUUUCCUCUUUACACAAAAGGUCAUUUAUUAUACACUCAAUCCAGGCUUUUGAAACUACUUUAGGACACCAUAGCCUUGAUACAUUUGCAGUACAUGUUAUAUUAUAUUUUCCAACUACAAAAGUACAAAAACAUUACUCAAGUCGCUGGAAGUGCACGAGUUGUUUUGAUCAUGGUUUCAGCUUUAUAGGCUUUUUAGAUGCUUAUUCAACAACAAGUGUUGGAAAAAUACAGUAUUGUUACAUUAUAUAUUACAAAUGUAAACUCAUAUUUAGGUCGCGGCAUGUCGGUUUGGGAUGAGAACCACUGAUCUGGACUCUAUCUUAAGGACUAAUCAACCAUAGAAUGACUCUACUGCUUUUAAAGCCUGUGUUUAGCACUUUGGGCUGCAAUGGUUGUUUUAAAUGUGCUUUAUACAAACGUUUGACUUGUGUUGACUUGAGGAGGUCGAUUUUGGCAAGAUCUAAGACUUUUAUCUUUUCAUCACAUUUUUCAUGGUCAUGUUCAACCACUUUUUAAAGCACAGGUACAAAAUAAAAUAAAACAAGUUCAAAACGGAGCAGGGUGAAGUACGAACUUAUGAGCCACUGAAUUACAGUUCACUGUAAAAUAUUCAUAGCUUUCUUCAAAUGUCCUUAUUACAUUGUAAAGAGAGAAUAACAAAAUAAUUUCAUUACUUAAAUACAUAUUUAUAUGAAUUGAUGAUGCUAUACUAUAAACUUGUAGUGUCCUGAACAGAACUUCUUCACUUCUCUUGACUAAUGCUGCUACUUUCUUUAAUAGUUUCAGGCAGUUUAUUCCACAACUUAAUCCCACUAAUCGAUACAUUGAGGCGCUCACACAGGUUCUAUAUAUAUUGCUUCCCCUUUGGAAAAUAUUUUUUGUAUAUGUGCC
Molecule: long non-coding RNA, 1593 nt
Filed under: Neogobius melanostomus (round goby)
Lineage: Eukaryota; Metazoa; Chordata; Actinopteri; Gobiiformes; Gobiidae
Description: lncRNA (ENSNMLG00000000531.1)
Source: RNAcentral